GCAAAGCACACUGAAAGGAGUAGCAAUAAAUAUUGGGGUAUUAUUAGUGGAAGUGAUUCUACUAAAAAUAGCCUUGCAAUGAAUGUCAUAAAUUUCUUAAUUGCUUCUUGUUGCUGGUCGAAUGUGCAUAUUGUUCCUCCACAUGGGGCUGUCUUUGAGGUAAGGGUGGCUGAUGGUUAUGGAGCGCGGUGGUCUAAGGAUGGAGCUAAGUUCAUUGGAUUUCUUGAGCCAUAUAUGGAAGAUGGUUACUCAAAGGGAUGGAAGCAUUAAAUAUCUUGGUUACAC
Molecule: unclassified non-coding RNA, 285 nt
Filed under: Hevea brasiliensis (rubber tree)
Lineage: Eukaryota; Viridiplantae; Streptophyta; Magnoliopsida; Malpighiales; Euphorbiaceae
Source: RNAcentral